UUCCAGUCACACGGCUAAACGCCAUCCAGUACCUGCAUGGCUAUUAGAACGCGACAUUAAGUCUCCAUGGGGGAGGUAAUGCACGUAAGCGUCGUUGUUUUGUCUUUCGAGUCUUGUGCUACAAUUCAAGAUAAUGAAUUUUGAGUCUAGGGGAUAGGGAUCGAUGGAGCGGACUGGUGGUUCUCGGAGCUAGAAACAUUCUAGAAUGCUAGCUGACGUUCACGGACAUCAUUCACGGUUCAUUGAGCUUACCUGACGAAGACAAUUUCCAUAAUGUAGAUAUGGCUGGUCGGCGACUUUUACCCGCUGACCGAUUUUUUGUUCAACCAGAUAUCUCGGCGCCUCUAAAUAUAGAGGAAGAGCGGCAGGAGCAAAUUAGAUGCAUGGAACCUUUCUCGAAUCAAGGUUAGGACUUGUAAACCACGGUUGGGCCAUGUAGGGAAUAAGGUAGAUGGGGAUUCACGGCAGGGAGUUGC
RNAcentral lists this small RNA (476 nucleotides) under Histoplasma ohiense. RNAcentral describes it as "hypothetical lncRNA". The record is from RNAcentral. Lineage: Eukaryota; Fungi; Ascomycota; Eurotiomycetes; Onygenales; Ajellomycetaceae.